RNAcentral lists this long non-coding RNA (256 nucleotides) under Elaeis guineensis (African oil palm). RNAcentral describes it as "long non-coding RNA (EGUI_LNC073012)". The record is from RNAcentral. Lineage: Eukaryota; Viridiplantae; Streptophyta; Magnoliopsida; Arecales; Arecaceae.
GGUUACAUAUCGAUGAAUUCUGAUGCCCGAUUACCCAUCGAAUUUGGACUCAAUAUUUAUGAAAGAUUUAAUUAGUGAUUUGAUCACUAAUUAACUCAAUUUGAUUGUAUAAUUAUUUUUGGAUCAAGUCCAAUUGAAUUGGAUUCAGUUGGGUUUGACCCAAUUAGGUUAAGAGUUGACCUAAUCGUCGAGAUGGUUUGGUCCCUGAUUUGAUCAGGGGUUGGGCUUAAUCAAUUUUUGAUUUGAUUAGGAUUUU